This 148-nucleotide small RNA is filed under the name Caenorhabditis elegans. Its description in RNAcentral is "Unclassified non-coding RNA F15B9.16". The record is from RNAcentral. Lineage: Eukaryota; Metazoa; Nematoda; Chromadorea; Rhabditida; Rhabditidae.
GUGGUGGAAUGGGUGGUGGAAACCGCGGAUAUGGAUACCAGGGUGGUGGCUCGAAUCCAUCUGGACAGCAAGGACCAGUUUACGAUGAUAAUGGAGGACAAGGUGGAGGUGGAUUGUAUCCUUCUCAAGAGGUCAAAGAUCGUGGUGG